GUUCUCGUAGCUCAGCGGAUUAGAGUGUCAGACUCCGACUCUGAAGGUCAGAGGUUCGAAUCCUCCCGGGAACACCA
RNAcentral lists this transfer RNA (77 nucleotides) under Clostridiales bacterium. RNAcentral's name for it is "tRNA-Arg". It matches the Rfam family "tRNA". From Rfam's summary of the family: Transfer RNA (tRNA) molecules are approximately 80 nucleotides in length. Lineage: Bacteria; Bacillati; Bacillota; Clostridia; Eubacteriales. The record is from RNAcentral.